GACGAACGCUGGCGGCGUGCUUAACACAUGCAAGUCGAGCGGUAAGGCCCUUUCGGGGGUACACGAGCGGCGAACGGGUGAGUAACACGUGGGUGACCUGCCCUUAGCUCUGGGAUAAGCCUGGGAAACUGGGUCUAAUACCGGAUAUGACUCCAUGACGCAUGUUGUGGGGUGGAAAGCCUUGUGCGGCUAGGGGAUGGGCCCGCGGCCUAUCAGCUUGUUGGUGGGGUGANGGCCUACCAAGGCGACGACGGGUAGCCGGCCUGAGAGGGCGACCGGCCACACUGGGACUGAGACACGGGCCCAGACUCCUACGGGAGGCAGCAGUGGGGAAUCUUGCGCAAUGGGCGAAAGCCUGACGCAGCGACGCCGCGUGAGGGAUGACGGCC
This 389-nucleotide ribosomal RNA is filed under the name uncultured bacterium. Its description in RNAcentral is "bacterial SSU rRNA". It matches the Rfam family "Bacterial small subunit ribosomal RNA", at positions 28 to 416 of the family's 1533-position model. The record is from RNAcentral.